AUGUCUCUGUCUCUCUGUGUCUAUCUCUGUCCUCUCUGUCUUUCUCUGUGUCUGUCGCUGUCUCUCUUCCUGUCUCUGUCUCUCUAUCUCUCUUUGUCUCUCUCUCCCUUCUCUCUGUCUCUCUGUGUCUCUAUGUCUCUGUCUCUCUCUCUCUCUCUCUCUUUCUCUCUCUCUGUCUCUGUCUCUGUCUCUCUCUGUCUCUCUCUGUCUCCCCCCCCUCCCCCAGCAGCCCAGAUCAGGACACUGACAAGAACUUUGAGAAGAAUGACAUUAACUAAUGCCCCUUUGCAUUCUGGGAAAUCUGGGAGCCUAGAGACAGGCAGAUUUCUGAGAGCUCUCCAAAAAAGUCAUUGGCAGGAGCAGCUGGUGGCUCAGUGGAUAGUGUGUCAGAACUAGAGUCCAAAGGUCCUGGGUUCAAAUUUGGCCUCAGAUGCUUCCUGGCUAUGUGACCCUGGGCAAGUCCCUUAACUCCAGUUGCCUAGCCCUUACCACUUUUCUGCCUUGGAAUUAAUACUUAGUAUUGAUUCUAGGACAGAAGAUAAAGGUUAAAAAGAAAAAAGUCAUUGGUACUCCUGGGAAAUGAGAAGAAUCUGGAGCUGGGGACACGGGGCCUGGGUUUGAAUUCCAGCUCAGCUGCUUACUAGCAGCAUGAGUCACCUUUCUGGGCCUGAUUCCCUCAUCUGUCAAAUGGGGAUAAUAAUACACUUGGCUUACACUGUUGUGGUGUGGAUCAAAUGAGAUAAUAUAUGCAGCAUGGAAAAAGCGGUGCCUACUUUAAAGCACCAGAUUAGCGUCAGCUAUAAUUUUCAUUAUUGUUGUUGUUGUUAACUCUUGCUGGUGCAUCAGAAUGUCCUAGCCAGGUGACCCUGUUUGCCUCAGUUUCCUUGUGUGUAAAAUGGAGAGAAUCAAAUGUACCUUGCCUACUUUAUAGGGUCUUCUAUGGUUUAAAAUAGUGUAAGUUGUUGUUGCUGUUAUUGUUGAGACAUCUCGGGCAUUUCAUAUCCAACUGACUUUCUUGGCAGAGAUACUGGAGUGGUCUGUCACUUCCUUCUCCAGCUCAUUUGACAUAUUAGGAAACUGAGGCAAACAGGGUGAAGUGACUUGUCCAGGGUCACACAUCUAGGAAGUAUAUGACUCUUCAUGACUCCAUUUGUAGUUUUAUUGGUAAAGAUACUAGAAUGGUUUGAUCUUUCCUUCUUUGACUUACUUUAUAGUUGAAGAAACUGAGGCAAGCAGCUUUAAGUGACUUUCCUAGAGUCACACAGCUAGUUGGCCAAUUCCUUCUCCAGCUCAUUUUACAGAUGAUGAAACUGAGCCAAGUGACUUGUCCAGGGUCACACAGAUAGGAAGUAUAUGACUCUUUGUGACCCCAUUUGGGGAUUUCUUGGCAAAGAUA
RNAcentral lists this long non-coding RNA (1396 nucleotides) under Monodelphis domestica (gray short-tailed opossum). RNAcentral's name for it is "lncRNA (ENSMODG00000042640.1)". The record is from RNAcentral. Lineage: Eukaryota; Metazoa; Chordata; Mammalia; Didelphimorphia; Didelphidae.